GAAAAAAUCAGGAAGUUGCUCUUCUUGUAUCGCUGUAAUUCACUUGUACAGCAAUACAAGAAGAGCAAUUUCUUGAUUUUUUUCUUUGCUA
This 91-nucleotide microRNA precursor is filed under the name Olea europaea subsp. europaea. The record is from RNAcentral. Lineage: Eukaryota; Viridiplantae; Streptophyta; Magnoliopsida; Lamiales; Oleaceae.